GAUGAAGGACGUAGCGAAAUGCGAUAAGUAAUGUGAAUUGCAGAAUUCAGUGAAUCAUCGAGUCUUUGAACGCACAUUGCGCCCCCUGGUAUUCCGGGGGGCAUGCCUGUCCGAGCGUCAUUGCUGCCCUCAAGCACGGCUUGUGUGUUGGGCCGUCGUCCCCCUCCUAGGGGACGGGCCCGAAAGGCAGCGGCGGCACCGCGUCCGGUCCUCGAGCGUAUGGGGCUUCGUCACCCGCUCCGUAGGCCCGGCCGGCGCUUGCCGACGACCAUCAAUCUCUUUCUCCAGGUUGACCUCGGAUCAGGUAGGGAUACCCGCUGAACUUAAGCAUAUCAAUAAGCGGAGGA
This 347-nucleotide unclassified non-coding RNA is filed under the name soil metagenome. RNAcentral's name for it is "partial contains 5.8S ribosomal RNA, internal transcribed spacer 2, and large subunit ribosomal RNA". The stretch from base 1 to 120 matches the Rfam family "5.8S ribosomal RNA", at positions 35 to 154 of the family's 154-position model. The record is from RNAcentral.